AUACGGAGGAUCCGAGCGUUAUCCGGAUUUAUUGGGUUUAAAGGGAGCGUAGGCGGACGCUUAAGUCAGUUGUGAAAGUUUGCGGCUCAACCGUAAAAUUGCAGUUGAUACUGGGUGUCUUGAGUACAGUAGAGGCAGGCGGAAUUCGUGGGGUAGCGGGGAAAUGCUUAGAUAUCACGAAGAACUCCGAUUGCGAAGGCAGCCUGCUGGACUGUAACUGACGCUGAUGCUCGAAAGUGUGGGUAUCAAACAGGAUUAGAUACCCUGGUAGUCCGCACAGUAAACGAUGAAUACUCGCUGUUUGCGAUACACUGUAAGCGGCCAAGCGAAAGCGUUAAGUAUUCCACCUGGGGAGUACGCCGGCAACGGUGAAACUCAAAGGAAUUGACGGGG
This 393-nucleotide ribosomal RNA is filed under the name uncultured bacterium. RNAcentral's name for it is "partial 16S ribosomal RNA". It matches the Rfam family "Bacterial small subunit ribosomal RNA", at positions 523 to 918 of the family's 1533-position model. The record is from RNAcentral.